UGGGGAAUAUUGCACAAUGGGCGCACGCCUGAUGCAGCAACGCCGUGUGAACGAUGAAGGUCUUCGGAUCGUAAAGUUCUGUUGCAGGGGAAGAUAAUGACGGUACCCUGUGAGGAAGCCCCGGCUAACUACGUGCCAGCAGCCGCGGUAAUACGUAGGGGGCUAGCGUUAUCCGGAUUUACUGGGCGUAAAGGGUGCGUAGGUGGUCUUUCAAGUCGGUGGUUAAAGGCUACGGCUCAACCGUAGUUAGCCUCCGAAACUGGAAGACUUGAGUGCAGGAGAGGGAAGUAGAAAUCCCAGUGUAGCGGUGAAAUGCGUAGAUAUUGGGAGGAACACCAGUAGCGAAGGCGGCUUUCUGGACUGAAACUGACACUGAGGCACGAAAGAGUGGGUAGCAAACAGG
RNAcentral lists this ribosomal RNA (403 nucleotides) under Verrucomicrobiota bacterium. RNAcentral describes it as "Verrucomicrobia bacterium partial 16S ribosomal RNA". It matches the Rfam family "Bacterial small subunit ribosomal RNA", at positions 355 to 776 of the family's 1533-position model. The record is from RNAcentral. Lineage: Bacteria; Pseudomonadati; Verrucomicrobiota.